This 393-nucleotide ribosomal RNA is filed under the name uncultured bacterium. RNAcentral describes it as "partial 16S ribosomal RNA". It matches the Rfam family "Bacterial small subunit ribosomal RNA", at positions 523 to 918 of the family's 1533-position model. The record is from RNAcentral.
AUACGGAGGAUCCGAGCGUUAUCCGGAUUUAUUGGGUUUAAAGGGUGCGCAGGUGGUUUGAUAAGUCAGCGGUGAAAGUUUGCAGCUUAACUGUAAAAAUGCCGUUGAAACUGUCGGACUUGAGUGUAAAUGAGGUAGGCGGAAUGCGUGGUGUAGCGGUGAAAUGCACAGAUAUCACGCAGAACUCCGAUUGCGAAGGCAGCUUACUAAGCUACAACUGACACUGAAGCACGAAAGCGUGGGGAUCAAACAGGAUUAGAUACCCUGGUAGUCCACGCAGUAAACGAUGAUUACUAGUUGUUUGCGAUACACAGUAAGCGGCACAGCGAAAGCGUUAAGUAAUCCACCUGGGGAGUACGCCGGCAACGGUGAAACUCAAAUGAAUUGACGGGG